UGGGGAAUAUUGCACAAUCGGCGCAAGCCUGAUGCAGCCAUGCCGCGUGUAUGAAUAAGGCCUUCGGGUUGUAAAGUACUUUUAGCGGGGAGGAAGGGAGUAAAGUUAAUACCUUUGCUCAUUGACGUUAUCCGCAGAAGAAGCACCGGCUAACUCCGUGCCAGCAGCCGCGGUAAUACGGAGGGUGCAAGCGUUAAUCGGAAUUACUGGGCGUAAAGCGCACGCAGGCGGUUUGUUAAGUCAGAUGUGAAAUCCCCGGGCUCAACCUGGGAACUGCAUCUGAUACUGGCAAGCUUGAGUCUCGUAGAGGGGGGUAGAAUUCCAUGUGUAGCGGUGAAAUGCGUAGAGAUGUGGAGGAAUACCGGUGGCGAAGGCGGCCCCCUGGACAAAGACUGACGCUCAGGUGCGAAAGCGUGGGGAGCAAACAGG
Molecule: ribosomal RNA, 429 nt
Filed under: Chloroflexota bacterium
Lineage: Bacteria; Bacillati; Chloroflexota
Description: Chloroflexi bacterium partial 16S ribosomal RNA
Rfam family: Bacterial small subunit ribosomal RNA
Source: RNAcentral